This 496-nucleotide ribosomal RNA is filed under the name uncultured bacterium. RNAcentral describes it as "partial 16S ribosomal RNA". It matches the Rfam family "Bacterial small subunit ribosomal RNA", at positions 28 to 506 of the family's 1533-position model. The record is from RNAcentral.
GAUGAACGCUGGCGGCGUGCCUAAUACAUGCAAGUCGAGCGAACAGACGAGGAGCUUGCUCCUCUGACGUUAGCGGCGGACGGGUGAGUAACACGUGGAUAACCUACCUAUAAGACUGGGAUAACUUCGGGAAACCGGAGCUAAUACCGGAUAAUAUAUUGAACCGCAUGGUUCAAUAGUGAAAGACGGUUUUGCUGUCACUUAUAGAUGGAUCCGCGCCGCAUUAGCUAGUUGGUAAGGUAACGGCUUACCAAGGCAACGAUGCGUAGCCGACCUGAGAGGGGAAUCGGCCACACUGGAACGGAGAACCGGUCCAGACUCCUAGGGGAGGCAGCAGUAGGGAAUCUUCCGAAAUGGGCGAAAGCCUGACGGAGCAACGCCGCGUGAGUGAUGAAGGUCUUCGGAUCGUAAAACUCUGUUAUUAGGGAAGAACAAAUGUGUAAGUAACUAUGCCCGUCUUGACGGUACCUAAUCAGAAAGCAACGCUUAACUACGU